UACGUAGGGUGCAAGCGUUGUCCGGAAUUAUUGGGCGUAAAGAGCUCGUAGGCGGUCUGUCGCGUCGGCUGUGAAAACCCGGAGCUCAACUCCGGGCCUGCAGUCGAUACGGGCAGACUGGAGUUCGGCAGGGGAGACUGGAAUUCCUGGUGUAGCGGUGAAAUGCGCAGAUAUCAGGAAGAACACCGGUGGCGAAGGCGGCUCACUGGCUCGUAACUGACGCUCAUGCACGACAGCGUGGGGAUCAAACAGG
Molecule: ribosomal RNA, 253 nt
Filed under: uncultured bacterium
Lineage: Bacteria
Description: partial 16S ribosomal RNA
Rfam family: Bacterial small subunit ribosomal RNA
Source: RNAcentral